Molecule: long non-coding RNA, 1083 nt
Organism: Heterocephalus glaber (naked mole-rat)
Lineage: Eukaryota; Metazoa; Chordata; Mammalia; Rodentia; Bathyergidae
Source: Ensembl
UGAUAGGUGUGGGUUCUUAAAAGCAAGGAUCUCUAUUAAACUUGUGGAAAUGUUGUCCUCCUUUCGCCCAUCAGCCGAGGUGUGUGAAGGAUUGUGUGUGUGAGAAGAGGGUGGAAGAACGCCCUGAAACUCUCAUUUUCCUUACGGCCUCACAUGUUGCUUACAGAGUAUCCAUGAUUAAAAUAAUCUGCAUGUAAUACAGGGAACUCUUGAAGCUACCCCAAAUUAGCCUGCAAUGACAAGUUUGAAUAUUGCCAAUCCACAGUGGACAAUACGACAUUAAUGCUUCAGCAAGAAUUUGUUUAGACUGGAAAACAUUUUCAUCUACUAAACUUCCUUCUUAUGUUCCUUGUAUGAUGGAGAACAAAGAUCAAUAAAUAAGCAGUUAAGAGUCUGUGUGGGUUUGGCUAGAGUACUGCCACCAAAGACUCAUGAGACCAUGAACAAAGUAAGCUGGACCAAUACCACAAGGGUAAAGUGAGAAAGUUCCUUGGAUCAGUUCACUCUUUUUACAGUAUGGAUAAAUUGAUAACAGCCAACCAGUGGAAGGGCCAUGAGCUGUGUGCUUAUGUUACUAGCUUUGAAGAAGCUCUACUUCUCCUUUGUAAAGAUGAGGAAACUGUGACUUACAGAAGAGAGACAGGAAAGUCUUCAGAUGAACAGAAGAAGAAAUGAGAGUAUACUGGAAUUUUUGUUUAUUUUGAAAGGAAUCUAUUAGCCAGAAAGGAAGAGUAAAUUCAUUUUGCCUGGCUGGGCAGGGGGCAGCUGAAUCACAAGGAUCAAAUGUAGCACAAAAGAACAAGAGUAACUGGCUUACUCUAACAUGAAACCAUUCUGAGUAAAGUGUAAAGAAGAAGAAUUAAAGCUGAAAUGGUAUUUAUAAAAGAGAAAAGCCACCAUUCUGUAUUAAAAAUUUUAUAUUAUGGACUUCCAGAGAUGGGCUACUUAUGAUUGCUGUGGUCCUAGCUGUAAAGUUCUUAUUUAUGAGCAUCAUUUACGAAGUCUUCGUGAUAAUGGUUUUCUCUAGCUUUCAUAAGAUUGUUGGUGCAAUACAUUCAAAUCAGAGUAUGUGAGAGCGGUUAG